GCUGGGCGUGGUGGCACACGCCUGUAAUCCCAGUGGCUUGGGAGGCUGAGGCAGGAGGAUCACAAAUUCAAAGACAGCCUUAGCAAUUUAUCAAGGCCUUAAGAAAGUCAGUGAGACCCUGUCUCUA
Molecule: small RNA, 127 nt
Filed under: Marmota monax (woodchuck)
Lineage: Eukaryota; Metazoa; Chordata; Mammalia; Rodentia; Sciuridae
Source: RNAcentral